GACAGCAGUAGCCGCGGGAACACGUAGGUGGCAAGCGUUGUCCGGAAUUAUUGGGCGUAAAGGGCUCGCAGGCGGUUUCUUAAGUCUGAUGUGAAAGCCCCCGGCUCAACCGGGGAGGGUCAUUGGAAACUGGGAAACUUGAGUGCAGAAGAGGAGAGUGGAAUUCCACGUGUAGCGGUGAAAUGCGUAGAGAUGUGGAGGAACACCAGUGGCGAAGGCGACUCUCUGGUCUGUAACUGACGCUGAGGAGCGAAAGCGUGGGGAGCGAACAGGAUUAGAUACCCGAGUAGUCCCUGUCUCUUAUAC
RNAcentral lists this ribosomal RNA (306 nucleotides) under uncultured bacterium. Its description in RNAcentral is "partial 16S ribosomal RNA". It matches the Rfam family "Bacterial small subunit ribosomal RNA", at positions 507 to 807 of the family's 1533-position model. The record is from RNAcentral.